Molecule: long non-coding RNA, 446 nt
Filed under: Urocitellus parryii (Arctic ground squirrel)
Lineage: Eukaryota; Metazoa; Chordata; Mammalia; Rodentia; Sciuridae
Description: lncRNA (ENSUPAG00010001227.1)
Source: RNAcentral
CGCGCCGGCCGGGCCCUCCGCGGUAGGGCGUGGGCGCUCCCGGGCCGGCGCGCUUUCGUUUUCGUCCGGGACAAAGGUCCCCGGCGGCGGCGCCGGUCGCGGACGCGGUGACCAGGUCGUGCGGGCCACUCUUCGUGCGGCCGCUCGCUGAAUACCAGGAUGCCGGAGGAAGGAGCGGCGCGGGGCCUGGCCGUGUGUUUGCGGCCGGGCCGUUCCAGCCUCAAGAGUUGCGGGAACCGCACCGCUCUGUCCGAGGUUUCAGCGCGGAAAGGAGGCAAGCAUUGCGAACCCGGGACUCUCGGCCGAGAGUCUCUGCGGCCGUGGGCACGUUAGCACUGCGCUGGCUACGGCCAGGCGCGGUCGACCGGCAAGGGCAGGACUGUCGACCUGUGCGCUGCGGGCACGAUCCGUUCAGGGCGACUCCGGAGGACGGCUCACAGGCCUGA